CGUAGGGGGCAAACGUUGUCCGGAUUUACUGGGUGUAAAGGGUGCUCAGGCGGUUUUGUAAGUCAGAAGUGAAAUCCUAGGGCUUAACUCUGGAACUGCUUUUGAUACUGCAAGGCUUGAAUAUGGAAGAGGAGGGCGGAAUUUCUGGUGUAGCAGUGAAAUGCGUAGAUAUCAGAAAGAACACCAGUGGCGAAGGCGGCCCUCUGGUCCAUUAUUGACGCUAAAGCACGAAAGCGUGGGGAGCAAACAGGAUUAGAUACCCUGGUAGUCCACGCCUUAAACGAUGAAUACUAGACGUUGGGGUUAAACUCAGUGUCGCAGCUAACGCAUUAAGUAUUCCACCUGGGGAGUACGAUCGCAAGGUUG
Molecule: ribosomal RNA, 366 nt
Filed under: uncultured organism
Description: bacterial SSU rRNA
Rfam family: Bacterial small subunit ribosomal RNA
Source: RNAcentral